UCGUGUGUGAGGAGCAAGUGUAAAUCAAAGAGCGCUUAGGGUGGAAACAAGGUAACACUCCUGAGCGCUUUUUGUU
Molecule: small RNA, 76 nt
Organism: Calothrix sp. 336/3
Lineage: Bacteria; Bacillati; Cyanobacteriota; Cyanophyceae; Nostocales; Calotrichaceae
Rfam family: Cyano-1 RNA
Source: Rfam